CCUACGGGAGGCAGCAGUGAGGAAUAUUGGUCAAUGGACGAGAGUCUGAACCAGCCAAGUAGCGUGAAGGAUGACUGCUCUAUGGGUUGUAAACUUCUUUUAUAAAGGAAUAAAACGAGGCACGUGUGCCUUUUUGCAUGUACUUUAUGAAUAAGGAUCGGCUAACUCCGCGCCAGCAGCCGCGGUAAUACGGAGGAUCCGAGCGUUAUCCGGAUUUAUUGGGUUUAAAGGGAGCGUAGAUGGGUUGUUAAGUCAGUUGUGAAAGUUUGCGGCUCAACCGUAAAAUUGCAAUUGAUACUGGCAGUCUUGAGUACAGUUGAGGUAGGCGGAAUUCGUGGUGUAGCGGUGAAAUGCUUAGAUAUCACGAAGAACCCCGAUUGCGAAGGCAGCUUACUAAACUGUGACUGACAUUGAUGCUCGAAAGUGUGGGGAUCAAACAGGAUUAGAUACCCGUGUAGUC
Molecule: ribosomal RNA, 460 nt
Filed under: uncultured bacterium
Lineage: Bacteria
Description: partial 16S ribosomal RNA
Rfam family: Bacterial small subunit ribosomal RNA
Source: RNAcentral